Molecule: ribosomal RNA, 459 nt
Filed under: uncultured bacterium
Lineage: Bacteria
Description: partial 16S ribosomal RNA
Rfam family: Bacterial small subunit ribosomal RNA
Source: RNAcentral
CCUACGUGAGGCAGCAGUAGGGAAUAUUGGGCAAUGGGCGAGAGCCUGACCCAGCCAUGCCGCGUGCCGGAUGAAGGCCUUCUGGGUUGUAAACGGCUUUUCUCAGGGAAGAAAACGACCAUGCUUGGUACACUGACGGUACCUGAGGAAUAAGCACCGGCUAACUCCGUGCCAGCAGCCGCGGUAAUACGGAGGGUGCAAGCGUUGUCCGGAUUUAUUGGUUUUAAAGGGUGCGUAGGCGGCCCGUUAAGUCCGGGGUGAAAGACCACUGCUCAAAAGUGGAACUGCCCUGGAUACUGGCGGGCUUGAGUCCAGACGAGGUUGGCGGAAUGGAUGGUGUAGCGGUGAAAUGCAUAGAUACCAUCCAGAACCCCGAUUGCGAAGGCAGCUGACUAGGCUGGUACUGACGCUGAGGCACGAAAGCGUGGGGAGCGAACAGGAUUAGAUACCCCGGUAGUC